CCACUCCUGAGCUUAGUGGGUUUCUAAGAAAAUAGAAUUGAAAGAAGAACUUGAAUCAGAAAUAAAAGGAAUUCUCUCACCACAUUUUUCAGGGACUCAAGAAAGCAAAAUUUCAUCAGAAUAGAUUUGAGAAAACAAUAUCCAAUCAGGUGGAUUUGAUUCACUUAUUCAUUUUAUAGUUGCAUUUUCAAAUUUGAAGAAUUUUGCAUUAUUCCUAGUUUUUAAUUUGGACUGAAUAUAGUCCUAAGAGAUCUGAAAAACAGAUAUAUUUUGAAGAUUGGCUUAUACAUUCAUAGGAAACCCAGGAAGUGAGUAGACACUAAAUCCUAGAGAUAAUGAAGUUUUCUAACUGAAACAGCUUGUUUUCUUAGUAAAUUCAGACUGACAAUGGAAAGCAAAAUAAACUGAAACGUCAGAAUUGAGAGAGCCGUCUAGAGAAUUCCAGCAUCCCACUUGUCAGCUGGUAGAGUCUAUUUGUGGCCGUGUUCCACGCCUGCAGGAGAAGAAAGCGGUGACCACACUCAAUCUAAAAUGGAGGAAUCCACAAUCAGCUAGAUCCAGAUCAGCCAUAUACACACAACCUGAGCUAUGAAAAACAUGAACAAUGUAUCAGAAUUCAUCCUGCUGGGCCUCACUCACAAUCCAGAACUGCAGAAACUCUUGUUUAUUAUGUUUUUAAUCACCUACUUGAUCACAUUGGCAGUUACAAAUGAGAGAGCUGGUGGGAGCCACUGGGAGAUGCCUGAGCAGAACUAAGUUUAGAAGCUCUGAUGAAUGAAAGAUCCCAUCCUGUUCUGGUCCUCUGAAAGAAGGAGAAAGAAGAGUCAGUGCCAGGGACCAGAAGAUCUGUCUCUGUACUGAGCUCGUGGUUCCUGUGGGAGAGCCCAGAAACAUGUUUUCAGGAGAGCAUUUCUAACUUAUGGAGUUGCACAUCACCAGAUACGGACAUUUUCUGUGUUCUCAGGACUUUAUAUCAGGCCACAUCUUGCAUACAAUGCCUUUUUAAAAAUAAAUGCAUUGUCAUAAUUUCCUAUCAGUGCCUAUUUUGUAAAUACAUGCAAGCAACAGUACGUUUUUUAAAAGUAAAUGUAUCCUUUUAAAAUGUAGUUGUGUAUCAUUUGACCCAGCAAUCCCAUUACUGGGUAUAUAACCAAAGGAUUAUAAAUCAUGCUACUAUAAAGACACAUGCACACGUAUGUUUACUGCGGCAGUAUUCACAACAGCAAAGACUUGGAACCAACCCAAAUGCCCAUCAGUGAUAGACUGGAUAAAGAAAAUGUGGCAUAUAUACACCGUGGAAUACUAUGCAGCCAUAAAAAAAGGAUGAG
RNAcentral lists this long non-coding RNA (1328 nucleotides) under Macaca fascicularis (crab-eating macaque). Its description in RNAcentral is "lncRNA (ENSMFAG00000051404.1)". The record is from RNAcentral. Lineage: Eukaryota; Metazoa; Chordata; Mammalia; Primates; Cercopithecidae.